Molecule: transfer RNA, 76 nt
Filed under: Bacillota bacterium
Lineage: Bacteria; Bacillati; Bacillota
Also listed under: 4 other names
Description: tRNA-Thr
Rfam family: tRNA
About the family: Transfer RNA (tRNA) molecules are approximately 80 nucleotides in length. Their secondary structure includes four short double-helical elements and three loops (D, anti-codon, and T loops). Further hydrogen bonds mediate the characteristic L-shaped molecular structure. tRNAs have two regions of fundamental functional importance: the anti-codon, which is responsible for specific mRNA codon recognition, and the 3' end, to which the tRNAs corresponding amino acid is attached (by aminoacyl-tRNA synthetases). tRNAs cope with the degeneracy of the genetic code in two manners: having more than one tRNA (with a specific anti-codon) for a particular amino acid; and 'wobble' base-pairing, i.e. permitting non-standard base-pairing at the 3rd anti-codon position.
Source: RNAcentral
GCUGUUAUAGCUCAGUCGGUAGAGCGCAUCCUUGGUAAGGAUGAGGUCCCCAGUUCGAAUCUGGGUAACAGCUCCA